Molecule: ribosomal RNA, 254 nt
Filed under: uncultured bacterium
Lineage: Bacteria
Description: partial 16S ribosomal RNA
Rfam family: Bacterial small subunit ribosomal RNA
Source: RNAcentral
UACGUAGGCAGCGAGCGUUAUUCGGAUUUACUGGGCGUAAAGGGCGCGUAGGCGGUCAGCACAAGUCAGUUGUGAAAUCUCCGAGCUUAACUCGGAAAGGUCAACUGAUACUGUGCGACUAGAGUGCAGAAGGGGCAACUGGAAUUCUCGGUGUAGCGGUGAAAUGCGUAGAUAUCGAGAGGAACACCUGCGGCGAAGGCGGGUUGCUGGGCUGACACUGACGCUGAGGCGCGAAAGCUAGGGGAGCGAACGGG